RNAcentral lists this ribosomal RNA (465 nucleotides) under uncultured bacterium. RNAcentral's name for it is "partial 16S ribosomal RNA". It matches the Rfam family "Bacterial small subunit ribosomal RNA", at positions 28 to 507 of the family's 1533-position model. The record is from RNAcentral.
GAUGAACGCUGGCGGCGUGCUUAACACAUGCAAGUCGUACGGUAAGGCCCUUUCGGGGGUACACGAGUGGCGAACGGGUGAGUAACACGUGAGUAACCUGCCCACAACUUUGGGAUAACGCUAGGAAACUGGUGCUAAUACUGGAUAUGUGCUCCUGCUGCAUGGUGGGGGUUGGAAAGCUCCGGCGGUUGUGGAUGGACUCGCGGCCUAUCAGCUUGUUGGUGGGGUAGUGGCCUACCAAGGCGGCGACGGGUAGCCGGCCUGAGAGGGUGACCGGCCACAUUGGGACUGAGAUACGGCCCAGACUCCUACGGGAGGCAGCAGUGGGGAAUAUUGCACAAUGGGCGCAAGCCUGAUGCAGCAACGCCGCGGGCGGGAUGACGGCCUUCGGGUUGUAAACCGCUUUCAGCAGGGACGAAGCUUUUUGUGACGGUACCUGCAGAAGAAGCACCGGCUAACUACGUG